CAAAGGACAAUCAAAUUAUUACUAAUAAAAGUAAGUAUUUGGCACUCUUUCCUUUUUGCAAUUGACACCAUAAGAUCAACUUAAUGCUACCUAAAUCUUUGAGAAAUCAGGAAAAUGUAUAUCCUGCUACACAGUUUUUACUGAAGGAUAUCACAUGUCCUAAAACUAAGCAAAACCUUAAAAGUUCAUUUUAUUCUUUUUAGUCUGAUAAAUAAUUAUUAUUCUCAUUUCAGAACCGAUACUUAAGUAUCUUAUCCAUGAGAAAUAUCUUAAUAAGUUCAUCAUUAGGAAUCUAGAGACAGGACUGGUUUCUUACAAUAUCCACGACUGUUACAGAUGCUUCGUGGAGGUUCAAAAAGACUACAGAUCAAGGCCAGUGACCUUCUACACAUGGUGGACACUCCAGCCUCUGCUCAAUCUCCAUCCACACUUAAAGGAAAUAGCCAACUCUUGGCCAACCUUCAGGCCUGGGAAGAGGCUCAAGCAGACACUGAAGACGGACUUAAGCAUGACCAAGGACCAGGGUAUAUACACCAGACAACAGAGCCGUUUCAUUUUGGGGGCUCGUUUGGGAUCAGAAUCAGAAUGGAAGGUAGAAACAUCAGAGUGGCUAUACGAUGUCCGGAAGUGGUGGGUUCUUGGUCUCACUGACUUCAAAAAUGAAGACGAAGACGUGGACUCUGGCGGUGAGUGUUACAGUUCUUAAAGGCGGUGUGUCCGGAGUUCAUUCCUUAUAAUGUUGGGAGUUUCUUCCUUAUGGUGGGUUUGUGGUCUCGCUGGCUCCGGAGUGAAGCUGCAGACCUUCGCGGUGAGUGUUACAGCUCUUAAGGCGGCACGUCUGGAGUUGCUGGAUCCUCCCGGUGCGUUUGUGGUCUCGCUGACUUCAGGACUGAAGCUGCAAACCUUUGCCGUGAGUGUUACAGCUUAUAAAAGCAAUGUGGACCCACAGAGAGAACAGCAGCAAGAUUUAUUGGAAAGAGAUAAAGAAUAAGGCUUCCACACUGUGGGAGGGGACCGGAGGGGGUUGCCACUGCUGGCUCCGGCAGCCUGCUUUUAUUCUCUUAUCUGGCCCCACCCACAUCCUGCUGAUUGGUAGAGCCCAGUGGUCUGUUUUGACAGGGUGCUGAUUGGUGCAUUUACAAUCCCUGAGCUAGACACAAAGGUUCUCCAAGUCCCCACCAGAUUAGCUAGAUACAGAGUGUCCAUUGGUGCAUUCACAAACCCUGACCUAGACACAGGGUGCUGAAUGGUGUGUUUACAAACCUUAAGCUAGAUACAGAGUGCCGAUUGGUGUUUUUACAAUCCCUUAGCUAGACAUAAAGGUUCUCCACGUCCCCACCAGACUCAGGAGCCCAGCUGGCUUCACCCAGUGGAUCCCGCCCAGGGGCUGCAGGUGGAGCUGCCUGCCAGUCCCGCGCCGUGUGCCUGCACUCCUUAGCCCUUGGGUGGUGGAUGGGACUGGGCGCCGUGGAGCAAGAGGCGGCGCUCAUCCCGGAGGCUCCGGCGGCACAGGAGCCCACGGAGAGGAGGAGGCUCAGGCAUGGCGGGCUGCAGGUCCCAAGCCCUGCCCCGCGGGAAGGCAGCUAAGGGCUGGCGAGAAAUUGAGCACAGCAGCUGCUGGCCCAGGUGCUAAGCCCCUCAGUGCCUGGGGCCGGUGGGGCCGGCUGGCCGCUCAGAGUGCGGGGUCCGCCCAGCCCACGCCCACCUGGAACUUGCGCUGGCCCGCAAGCACCGCGUGCAGACCCAGUUCCCUCCCGCGCCUCUCCCUCCACACCUCCCAGCAAGCUGAGGGAGCCGGCUCCGGCCUUGGCCAGC
This 1815-nucleotide long non-coding RNA is filed under the name Homo sapiens (human). RNAcentral's name for it is "HSALNT0163036". Lineage: Eukaryota; Metazoa; Chordata; Mammalia; Primates; Hominidae. The record is from RNAcentral.